RNAcentral lists this small RNA (170 nucleotides) under Numida meleagris (helmeted guineafowl). RNAcentral describes it as "TUC338 (ENSNMEG00000021224.1)". The record is from RNAcentral. Lineage: Eukaryota; Metazoa; Chordata; Aves; Galliformes; Numididae.
UUGACAGAACUGCAGACUGAAGUCCUUCAAUCACCCGGAACAAGUACAGCUCAGACAGCAGCCAGGCAAGCUUCCCCAUUUUAGUCCAUCACAUCUCAACUCUAUUUUGAAGGAAUCACCACAAUGGGAAAAGAGAUAGUUUGGUCAUGCCCAUUUAAUCCUUCACCUCC